UGCGAGUCGAGCGGUAACAUUUCUAGCUUGCUAGAAGAUGACGAGCGGCGGACGGGUGAGUAAUGCUUGGGAAUAUGCCUUAUGGUGGGGGACAACAGUUGGAAACGACUGCUAAUACCGCAUAACGUCUACGGACCAAAGGGGGGGAUCUUCGGACCUCCCGCCAUUUGAUUAGCCCAAGUGAGAUUAGCUAGUUGGUGAGGUAAUGGCUCACCAAGGCGACGAUCUCUAGCUGGUUUGAGAGGAUGAUCAGCCACACUGGGACUGAGACACGGCCCAGACUCCUACGGGAGGCAGCAGUGGGGAAUAUUGCACAAUGGGCGAAAGCCUGAUGCAGCCAUGCCGCGUGUGUGAAGAAGGCCUUCGGGUUGUAAAGCACUUUCAGUUGUGAGGAAAGGUGGGUAGUUAAUAGCUGCUCACUGUGACGUUAGCAACAGAAGAAGCACCGGCUAACUUCGUGCCAGCAGCCGCGGUAAUACGAGGGGUGCAAGCGUUAAUCGGAAUUACUGGGCGUAAAGCGUUCGUAGGCGGUCUAUUAAGCAAGAUGUGAAAGCCCAGGGCUCAACCUUGGAACUGCAUUUUGAACUGGUAGACUAGAGUACUGUAGAGGGUGGUGGAAUUUCCAGUGUAGCGGUGAAAUGCGUAGAGAUUGGAAGGAACAUCAGUGGCGAAGGCGGCCACCUGGACAGAUACUGACGCUGAGGAACGAAAGCGUGGGGAGCGAACAG
This 728-nucleotide ribosomal RNA is filed under the name uncultured Colwellia sp. RNAcentral's name for it is "bacterial SSU rRNA". It matches the Rfam family "Bacterial small subunit ribosomal RNA", at positions 56 to 775 of the family's 1533-position model. Lineage: Bacteria; Pseudomonadati; Pseudomonadota; Gammaproteobacteria; Alteromonadales; Colwelliaceae. The record is from RNAcentral.